GUGUAUUGAUUUUACUUGGUUCAAUGUUCAGUGGCAAGUAUUUUAUAUAUGCGCAGGUCCUGAGACAGAAAAUCAAAUUAUUCAUUCACUUAAGGUCUUCAAAAAUAACGAUUGCGAGAUGACGGACAGGAAGACUUCAAACGUAACAGUUUGAACUAGCUGUCAGAAACUUAAGUACUCUCAGAUCUUUUCUUGCUAUUGUCGUUUUGUUCUUCUGGUAAACAAGUGAUUCUUUCAUUGUUGAAGACUCUCUAGCGACUAUAAAGAUGAACAGGAAUAAAACGCUGACCAUUGAUAAUUUGUAUUUUUGUUUAGCUCUGACUUUGUGUUCGAUAAGGUCCCGUGUACCUUUACUCCAUAUUCCUUUAUUUUCUAUAAAGGCGUCUGUCUUGACAGUAAGUUGACACGACUUAAUACAAGUUAAACCCUUAAAUGUAAGACACCAGAUGGAAGUACUCAAAAAGGAGAGCCAGUUUGGUAUUCUGUAAUGUUAGAGUUCAAUUCUUCAUGAAGAAACGACUACUAGUAUAUGUUUUCUGUAUUCAGCAUAGAAUCAUAUCUUCUAAACUAUAUUUUUUCGCACAAUGUCUGGAUAUUGGUGGACAUGCAUCAUUGCGAAACCAGACAUUUACAAAUGAAAAUUAAUACUUGUACUAUAGCCAUUUAGUAGGAAAGUAAAUGCACAAAAGACAAGUAAUUCAGAAACAUGCAUGGAUCACGCAAAAUUAUGCAGGGGCGACACCGGAGUAAUGGGAGUUUGCUUCUUGCAAGACAUUCGCCGUGAAAACAAUUUGAUAUGAAGACAAGCCUUUGUUUCAACUUUGUUUUAAAAUUUCAAACAUGAGGCUGUUACGGCCCAGGUCAAUGUUCUUAAGCAACACAUAUUUUCCUUUCAUUUUGCUGUUAGCUUUCUGAUAUAAAUUUAUACAUAUUAUAGACUAUUAUGAUUCUUUUUUUUUCAAUUUCAGUUAAACACUAUUUAUGAUUUGCUUUUAAAUAAAUUUUUAACAUGUUUAAAUGUCUUUUUCUUUUUCUUCAUCUUUUUGAAACCCUGGUUUUGUAUUACCACUGACCAGUUCAGUAAAGAAACAGCUGCUUCAUGUUUGCAUAAAUGUGUUUGUAACCAAUCUAACAUGCUAUUAUAAUUUCCUUAGUUUUUAUUCCGUGUCUAUAGAUAGUCUUCAUCGGGGAGGCAAGAUUUAUUUUGUCUGUUGGUUGCUUGGCUAGCGUAAGCUAAUCGAUUUACCUCACAUUUUGAAGUUGGAUGGAGAUUGUUUCUAGAUAAAUGCCGUACCUUUGUACUUUGGUUUCCUGUCGGAUUUUUCUCAAUUUUAAAUUGGGAAGUUUUAUCAUUUGUUUUGCAUAAUUAUUAUUUUUGACUUGCAAAUGAACGAUUAAUAAAUCUAGUCCCGUGUGUGCUAGCGAAAUGUCUUUAGUGUAAUCUCGGAGUGUAAUUUUUAUUUCAACUUUUACGUUUGCAUCAGGACGACCUAAAACACGAAAACUUUCUUUUUUUCAAGAAUGACAUUCGUUACUUCAAACAAAAAUCGCUUUUAUCUUCUUUUUUUUUUGCAGUAAAAGACCUGUUUCUUUAAAAAAAAACUUUCAUACAAUCGACUGAUUCGGG
Molecule: long non-coding RNA, 1627 nt
Filed under: Mytilus galloprovincialis (Mediterranean mussel)
Lineage: Eukaryota; Metazoa; Mollusca; Bivalvia; Mytilida; Mytilidae
Source: RNAcentral